GACGAACGCUGGCGGCGUGCUUAACACAUGCAAGUCGAACGCUGAAGCUCAGCUUUUGUUGGGUGGAUGAGUGGCGAACGGGUGAGUAACACGUGAGUAACCUGCCCCCUUCUUUGGGAUAACGCCCGGAAACGGGUGCUAAUACUGGAUAUUCACUGGUCUUCGCAUGGGGGUUGGUGGAAAGGGUUUUUCUGGUGGGGGAUGGGCUCGCGGCCUAUCAGCUUGUUGGUGGGGUGAUGGCCUACCAAGGCUUUGACGGGUAGCCGGCCUGAGAGGGUGACCGGUCACAUUGGGACUGAGAUACGGCCCAGACUCCUACGGGAGGCAGCAGUGGGGAAUAUUGCACAAUGGGCGCAAGCCUGAUGCAUCGACGCCGCGUGAGGGAUGGAGGCCUUCGGGUUGUGAACCUCUUUCGCUCAUGGUCAAGCCGCAACAAUGGUUGUGGUGAGGGUAGUGGGUAAAGAAGCGCCGGCUAACUACGUG
Molecule: ribosomal RNA, 483 nt
Filed under: uncultured bacterium
Lineage: Bacteria
Description: partial 16S ribosomal RNA
Rfam family: Bacterial small subunit ribosomal RNA
Source: RNAcentral